AGCUCACAAGCUUCCGCAAACCAACAACAUAGGCCAGCAUGGCCAUAACGUAGCUAUAAACCCCACACACUAGUCUGCAAGCCUCUAAGAGUAGUAAAGAUUGGUGGGACAGGGCCCCAGCCUACCCAUAAAGAUAUAUACAACAAAAGUUAACAAACCUCCCAACUCUGGCAGCUCCGGAGGAAAGGGGCUAGCCAACUAGAUAAAAGUCAAUCCUGCUGCUGAGGAGGUCUACUCAGUCGUCUGUCAGGACCUGCAUGCGUGAAUGCAGCGCCCCCAGGCAAUGGGGCGUCAGUACAAAAUAAUGUACAGAGUAUGAAAGGCAAUAGACUAUGAUGAGGUAUCCUGAUAUACUGGAAUAAUCUGAUAAAUAAAUCAAGGAUAAGAUAACUGUACUGACCUGCUCCUAAAUCUAAACGUAUCAAAAAUAAUAAAACAACAACCUAACAGAGCCCCCAUAAGCUCUGCAGGUACAAACAGCACACAAGACCACCUACUCAGGCCCCCAUAAGCCCGGAAGGUGCCAAUCAGUCUAUAUACCCCUAUCGAUAGUCCCUUAGCCCUGUAGGCAAUCACAUAGCCCUCUUAGGCAUUAAUAUAGCCCCAUAACAGCACAUAGUUCUCUUAGGUAUCAACAUAGCUUAUAGACAACUCAUAGCCCUCUUAGGCAACAACAUAGCCAUGUAGGAAGCCCAUAGCCUUCUUAGGCGUCAAUAUAGCCCUAUAGGUAACUCAUAGCCCUUCUAGGCAUCAAUAUAGCCCCGUAGGCAACAUAUAGCCCUUUUAGUUAUCCAUUUAGCCCCGUAGGUUGAACAUAGCCCUUCUAGGCAUAAAUCACAUUCCUGCAGCUAACCAGAAUAGCCCUAAUGGCAAUAAUAACAAUCAAAUCGUUAAAAGCGAGCAAUCUAAGCAACCUGUACAAAUAGCCUCUAAGUCGUUUCCAACAUAGGGACGCUACAAACUGAAUAAGAAUCCCGACAAGGGAGGAUUAUAUCAACCUGAGCAACCAAUAAUCAACAAUAACGGCUACAAGUAUAUCAAGUAUAUUAAGGAACAUGUCGUAAGUAGGGAAUAGCCUUAACAUACCUUUUUCGCUAAAUUCAUGUGGCUUAAAGACUUUAACUCAUAACUCCCUCGAUA
This 1140-nucleotide long non-coding RNA is filed under the name Solanum tuberosum (potato). RNAcentral describes it as "long non-coding RNA (STUB_LNC011597)". Lineage: Eukaryota; Viridiplantae; Streptophyta; Magnoliopsida; Solanales; Solanaceae. The record is from RNAcentral.